RNAcentral lists this long non-coding RNA (663 nucleotides) under Medicago truncatula (barrel medic). RNAcentral's name for it is "lncRNA gene31202". The record is from RNAcentral. Lineage: Eukaryota; Viridiplantae; Streptophyta; Magnoliopsida; Fabales; Fabaceae.
UUUUAUUUUCUCAAUUGAACCAACCAACUGCACAAGGUUUUAACAAAGUUGAAAUCCGCUACUGCAAUAUUUUUUGAGAGCACAUUGGCUUUCAUUUGGAGCAUUAUCAUUUAUUGAAUUCCCCAUUAAUUGAUUUUGUUGCUUCUCCAUUUCGAACAAGUAUGUGCCAAUUUUAUCAAACAAAUAAAAUAUCGUAUCUUCAGAGACUGCACUUAAUUAAUUCAAGUUUGUAUGACAUAUUUUCUAAACAAGGUUUUUAUAAAAGUAUUUUGGUUAGGAAUUGGACUUUGCAAUUUAUAUGAUAAAACAAGAGUAGAAAAAUUAUAUUGUCGAGAUUAAGCUUUAUGAACUAUUCGUUUAAUAUCCUUUCUUAAUUGAUUGUAUACUUUUAUGUUUUAGAUAUAAAUCCACCCUUUCACUAGCGUACGUCUUCAGCUAAGGUUAACGACACGAGAUAACUUAGAAACAACUGACUUCCGAUGCAUAGUGGCAAAAUAGCCGAUUUUAGAAAUUGUGAGGCAGAUGCAAUAUAGGUAUCUAAGUGGGACGACUUAUACAACAAUUUCCAUACUUAACUGGAAAAGAAAGUAUCCUUGAGUACACUCAUGCUCAUUCAAGUAUAUGAUAUAAUGAUAAAAAUAGGCAGAAGAUUCAUAUCUUUUU